UACGUAGGGUGCAAGCGUUAAUCGGAAUUACUGGGCGUAAAGCGUGCGCAGGCGGGUAUAUAAGACAGAUGUGAAAUCCCCGGGCUCAACCUGGGAACUGCAUUUGUGACUGUAUAGCUAGAGUACGGUAGAGGGGGAUGGAAUUCCGCGUGUAGCAGUGAAAUGCGUAGAUAUGCGGAGGAACACCGAUGGCGAAGGCAAUCCCCUGGACCUGUACUGACGCUCAUGCACGAAAGCGUGGGGAGCAAACAGG
Molecule: ribosomal RNA, 253 nt
Filed under: uncultured bacterium
Lineage: Bacteria
Description: partial 16S ribosomal RNA
Rfam family: Bacterial small subunit ribosomal RNA
Source: RNAcentral